This is a long non-coding RNA of Oncorhynchus tshawytscha (Chinook salmon), 318 nucleotides long. RefSeq lists it as uncharacterized. NCBI's taxonomy places the organism in Eukaryota, Metazoa, Chordata, Actinopteri, Salmoniformes, Salmonidae. The record is from RefSeq and is a predicted model, not a curated record. The transcript has 2 exons.
UUCGACAAAUAACGAAAAAUACAUUAUAAAUGGUCAAGUGUUUUAGUCUGUAAACACAUGAACAUGGACAGACGUACAUGACUACAUGACUUAACUAGAUUACUAGGUCAGAUAGGGAUAGACAGACGUACAUGACUACAUGACUUAACUAGAUUACUAGGUCAGAUAGGGAUAGACAGACGUACAUGACUACAUGACUUAACUAGAUUACUAGGUCAGAUAGGGAUAGACAGACGUACAUGACUACAUGACUUAACUAGAUUACUAGGUCAGAUAGGGAUAGGCCCGCGGUUGAAUCUAGUUGAUGAGCCUUGGUUU